UGCAGCGUGUCCUGAGAUGCCAGCUCAUCAGCCUCUUCCAGCUGCUGCCGGGAGCCGCGCGGCGGAGUGAAGCUGAGACGCGGAUCUGUUACUACGUCUCCCUCAUCCCUCCAGUCUGACCGUGUUUUAGGGAAUGUCACCCAAGGCCGGAGGAAGCUCCCAGAUUCUGCUCCGGGACCAUCCUCACCUUUUUGUAUUUAGUGUACCCGGGAGAUUUGCCUGUGAGAAUCACUGAAACCAAAGCAAACAACCAAGGCAAAGGACCAGAAAGGAAUUGAUGGGCUAAAGAAAAAGACGAGGGGAGCUUGUUCCUCACAGACAAGCGUAACGAGAUGCUGGAGGCUUUGGCCGUGGAGUUCUGUCCUCCAGGCCACAUCAGCUACGUCAGGAGGAGACAGUGUGGGGAGAAGAAAGGGAUGCAGCAUGCAGAACCGCUGGAUAGAGUGGGAGACUGGCACGGCUCCGGGGCCCCCCUGCCACGAACUCCCCCAUGAAUCUUUAGUUCUUCCAGAAACUGGGAGGAUGCUUCUUCUAGCUCAAAAGCCUGAAGCAAAGGAUCCCAGGUGCGCGGGGCUCCCGGAUGAACCCCAGGAUGCUUUGGGGGAACAGAGCUUCAGGCGGCAGCCAGCCUGGACCCAGGCUGGCUCCUCUCUACAGGGACGUCAAAGCUGAGAUUCAGGGCAGACCCGGGAUUCCAGAGACGGGCCACCUGGCACCUCAUGCCCCGAGCAGUGACCACUUCUCUCCCCCUGCAGGUCACUGGAGGGCAGAGGGCCUCCUGCUCCUCUCAUUUUAAUCCUCUGCAGUCAAGUCAGACUUGGUCCUCACUGAAUUGCAACGUCAUCAUUUGCUUUUCCGGGCAGCCUUAAAAUACUCAAAAUUAGCAGGCCGCCGACAGUCGAGCUGUGUAACUUCUGAUAAAGGGAAGUAACUUUUCUGAGCAUGGGUUUCCUCAUCAGUGACAUAAAAAUAACCUUCCCCUGUCCCCCACCCCUAGGUAUUGUGAGAAUUAUGUAAAAAUGCCCAGCACCACUGCAGGCACGUAGUAGGUCUUC
Balaenoptera musculus (blue whale) is the source of this 1055-nucleotide long non-coding RNA. RefSeq lists it as uncharacterized. NCBI's taxonomy places the organism in Eukaryota, Metazoa, Chordata, Mammalia, Artiodactyla, Balaenopteridae. The transcript is spliced from 3 exons. The record is from RefSeq and is a predicted model, not a curated record.